AAAAAGAUUCAACCAAAUCAUGAUACAAAAGAAAUUAUAUUUACAAUUUCUACACCACAAAAGCUCUUCACAAUAACUUCCUAAGUCAACUUGCUUGUUUCUCGACCACCAACUCCUGUAAGGAAAACAAACUAAACGGUUGAGUUAAAACUCAGUGAGGUUCAAAAGUAUAAGGCAUUGCCAGUGCAAAACUUCACAAAAUUUAUAACCAAUCAACGAGGCUAUUAAAUAAGUUAAACAAUCAUUAAAAGGAUACACUUCACCACCUUGCUCCUCCAUUGUCUCCUUAUAACCACCAAAACAAUAAACAAUUCCUGACAAUCCAAAACAAUUCAUUAUUGUCCAAACUCCCAGGUGAUACUCGAAUAUACCUUUCAGUAGCUCAUGUUAGUGAAACUAGUCGACCGAGUCCUUCACUAGCUCGAUUAGAUCAACUAUCCAAGGCAUAGGGCCCAAUUCAACUGGUGUAAUAAGGUUCACAGCGGUCUACAGUCAUUCAUGCACAAUCAAUUAACACUCAUUUCAAUACAAUAAGGCGGUAGCGAUUAGGUACGCUCCGACCUUUGCAAGUAAAUUUC
Molecule: long non-coding RNA, 578 nt
Filed under: Coffea arabica (coffee)
Lineage: Eukaryota; Viridiplantae; Streptophyta; Magnoliopsida; Gentianales; Rubiaceae
Description: long non-coding RNA (CARA_LNC005699)
Source: RNAcentral